This is a long non-coding RNA of Mytilus trossulus (common blue mussel), 248 nucleotides long. RefSeq lists it as uncharacterized. NCBI's taxonomy places the organism in Eukaryota, Metazoa, Mollusca, Bivalvia, Mytilida, Mytilidae. The record is from RefSeq and is a predicted model, not a curated record. The transcript has 3 exons.
AAAAAGACGACAGGUUCAGUGAAUAUGGCAGUGAUUCAGAGGAGAGUCAAGAACAAAGCAGUGCUUUGCUUACACAGACUGUGAGAAGAGAUCUGUCAAUGGCCAUUAGAGAUUUGAUAGAACAUGGACUUAUGGAGAUAGGACAGAGUACGAGCGUAGUACCGUGGGGAUGUUUUCCAUCGAGGUCAGGGCAGGUAACCAGACAGAUGCAUGCUUGGGAUUUGUUGAUAAAAUUUUAUGAAAUGAAG